Molecule: ribosomal RNA, 253 nt
Filed under: uncultured bacterium
Lineage: Bacteria
Description: partial 16S ribosomal RNA
Rfam family: Bacterial small subunit ribosomal RNA
Source: RNAcentral
UACAGAGGUCCCAAGCGUUGUUCGGAUUCAUUGGGCGUAAAGGGUGCGUAGGCGGCGCGGUAAGUCGGGUGUGAAAUCUCGGAGCUUAACUCCGAAACUGCAUUCGAUACUGCCGUGCUUGAGGACUGGAGAGGAGACUGGAAUUUACGGUGUAGCGGUGAAAUGCGUAGAUAUCGUAAGGAAGACCAGUGGCGAAGGCGGGUCUCUGGCCUGUAACUGACGCUGAGGCGCGAAAGCGUGGGGAGCGAACAGG